This is a non-coding RNA of Peromyscus californicus insignis, 522 nucleotides long. The record is from the annotation of a RefSeq genome assembly. Lineage: Eukaryota; Metazoa; Chordata; Mammalia; Rodentia; Cricetidae.
AUGGAGAGGAAACUGGGAGCUGUGCUGGGGAUUCUGUGGUUGUGGACUUGCUGUGUGAGAGGAGUUGAGGUGGAGCAGAGUCCUCCAGCCCUGAGUCUCCAUGAGGGAACCAGUUCUGCUCUGAGAUGCAAUUUUUCUACCACCAUGCAAAGUGUGCAAUGGUUCCAGCAGAAUCCCGGGGGCAGCCUCAUCAAUCUUUUUUACCUGGCUUCAGGAACAAAGGAGAAUGGGAGGUUAAAGUCAACAUUCAACUCCAAGGAGCGCUACAGCACCCUGCACAUCAGAGAUGCCCAGCUGGAGGACUCAGGCACCUACCUCUGUACUACUGAUGCACAGUGCUCCCAGCAAGCCUGCAGCCUGGCCCCAAACUGCAGCUGGGUGUGCAGCUACAGCCCUGCCCCAGGGAGACUCUACAGGAGGCCUUUCACAGCUGUGUCUUUAUCAGAUCUCCACCAAUUACAGAGAAGUUGUGAGGAAACCCAAAAUUACCACAGCAGAAAUUCAUGGCUAAAUUCAGAUUGA